Molecule: long non-coding RNA, 1298 nt
Organism: Oncorhynchus keta (chum salmon)
Lineage: Eukaryota; Metazoa; Chordata; Actinopteri; Salmoniformes; Salmonidae
Exons: 3
Source: RefSeq, a predicted model, not a curated record
GUUAGAGUGUAGAGGAGGCAGGGUAGCCUAGUGGUUAGAGUGUAGAGGUGGCAGGGUAGCCUAGUGGUUAGAGUGUAGAGGGGGCAGGGUAGCCUAGUGGUUAGAGUGUAGAGGUGGCAGGGUAGCCUAGUGGUUAGAGUGUAGAGGAGGUAGGGUAGCCUAGUGGUUAGAGUGUAGAGGAGGCAGGGUAGCCUAGUGGUUAGAGUGUAGAGGUGGCAGGGUAGCCUAGUGGUUAGAGUGUAGAGGUGGCAGGGUAGCCUAGUGGUUAGAGUGUAGAGGAGGCAGGGUAGCCUAGUGGUUAGAGUGUAGAGGCGGCAGGGUAGCCUAGUGGUUAGAGUGUAGAGGUGGCAGGGUAGCCUAGUGGUUAGAGUGUAGAGGAGGCAGGGUAGCCUAGUGGUUAGAGUGUAGAGGUGGCAGGGUAGCCUAGUGGUUAGAGUGUAGAGGUGGCAGGGUAGCCUAGUGGUUAGAGUGUAGAGGAGGCAGGGUAGCCUAGUGGUUAGAGUGUAGAGGCGGCAGGGUAGCCUAGUGGUUAGAGUGUAGAGGAGGCAGGGUAGCCUAGUGGUUAGAGUGUAGAGGUGGCAGGGUAGCCUAGUGGUUAGAGUGUAGAGGAGGCAGGGUAGCCUAGUGGUUAGAGUGUAGAGGAGGCAGGGUAGCCUAGUGGUUAGAGUGUAGAGGUGGCAGGGUAGCCUAGUGGUUAGAGUGUAGAGGAGGCAGGGUAGCCUAGUGGUUAGAGUGUAGAGGUGGCAGGGUAGCCUAGUGGUUAGAGUGUAGAGGUGGCAGGGUAGCCUAGUGGUUAGAGUGUAGAGGUGGCAGGGUAGCCUAGUGGUUAGAGUGUAGAGGCGGCAGGGUAGCCUAGUGGUUAGAGUGUAGAGGUGGCAGGGUAGCCUAGUGGUUAGAGUGUAGAGGUGGCAGGGUAGCCUAGUGGUUAGAGUGUAGAGGCGGCAGGGUAGCCUAGUGGUUAGAGUGUAGAGGCGGCAGGGUAGCCUAGUGGUUAGAGUGUAGAGGCGGCAGGGUAGCCUAGUGGUUAGAGUGUAGAGGUGGCAGGGUAGCCUAGUGGUUAGAGUGUAGAGGUGGCAGGGUAGCCUAGUGGUUAGAGUGUAGAGGCGGCAGGGUAGCCUAGUGGUUAGAGUGUAGAGGCGGCAGGGUAGCCUAGUGGUUAGAGUGUAGAGGCGGCAGGGUAGCCUAGUGGUUAGAGUGUAGAGGCGGCAGGGUAGCCUAGUGGUUAGAGUGUAGAGGCGGCAGGGUAGCCUAGUGGUUAGAGUGUAGAGGCGGCAGGGUAGCCUAGUGGUUAGAGUGUA